This is a long non-coding RNA of Chiroxiphia lanceolata (lance-tailed manakin), 601 nucleotides long. RefSeq lists it as uncharacterized. The transcript has 3 exons. NCBI's taxonomy places the organism in Eukaryota, Metazoa, Chordata, Aves, Passeriformes, Pipridae. The record is from RefSeq and is a predicted model, not a curated record.
AUUCUGGAAGCAAUAUCCACUGCUUUUGACAGAGAGAGGCAACACUUUCCAACUAGUGCUAUAGAGGGGGUGAAAGGGAGAAAAAAUCUCAGCAUCUAAUUCACAAGGAUUUCUCAGCCUUGGAGAACAAAUCCAGAUGUACUGAUUCUGCUACAAUUUACCACAUCAGCAACCCCCAGGCUUUUGCCAGUGCUACUGGAAGGUCAAGGACCAGCUCUCACAUCUGAGUCCUGCCCACUCUAGUCCAAGAGAGUUUCUAAUAGAAGCUGGUGACUCUGGGAACAGUGAUCUGUAUCUCAUCUGCUGUAGCAUUUAUGCUUUUACUAUGAAAACACUGUCCCUCUGAAAGUGCUUUUUAUCUUUGGCAUCAGAAGAAGUGAGCAAUGAUGAAGGGAAAGCCUGCUUAGCCACCACCUUUAAGUGAUUGGGUUUUUUUCUUUUCUGUGUAGCAGAUCAGCAAGAAGUUUUGCAUUUUAAAGAGCUCUCUGAUGCUAUUUCAGCAGUUUCUUUCAUUAUUAAGCUGCAUUCAGCUACUUUUGCCCUUUUUUCUAUUUUUCUAACUUCUUUCUCCAGAUUAAAAUAAAGGAGCAAACAGCAAAAA